GCCAAAAGUAUGUAUCCAUUGUUGGAACCUUGAAGCAGUUUUUGUUAGUGCAUAUCAAUUAAUACCAUUUGUUCUAAAACAGGUCUGGGGAAGGCAUUGGAUGCAGCAUCCAAAGAGUGUGACCAACUACAGUUGUGGAGGCCAGCUAUAGUGAAUCACCUCUAUUGGACCGCAGCCUCAACCCCAGAUGGCAACCCAGCGGUCAUGGAGGCCAAAUAGAGAAGUUUAGUGAACCACAUCCAGGACAUCCAUGACCAUGACACCCCUGCCUUCUCCAGUUGUGCCCAUGGCCCUCUAGACGGAGAUCAGCGCAACAAAGAGUGGCUGGACCCAGGUACAGUACUGGUAUUAUGCACGCUCUACAUAGUUUUGUUUUAUUUGCUGUCUUUGAGUAAUUGUCUGGAUGCUUUGACAUGUGAACUUUGUGAUGAAAUUAUUUUUUCAUUCCCUGGCAAUCUCAUAACAUUCUGUUUACUGUUUAUGUUUGCUAUAAUUCAUAUGCAGGACAAUUUCAUGUGUGUUUCCAUUUAAAAAAGGAAUUCUGUCCGUCUAUAUAUCUUCCUGUCUAUUUGUACGUUUUCCGUCUGUGUGUCUGUCUGCCUCCCUGCCUUGGUCUUUGCAGGCUCAUUGGAAGCAGUCAAGUUGGAGAACAUAAUGAUGAGGGCUGCCUUACUGAAAGAUGUUCGACAGCUGUCUCCACAACACCAGACCUUCUCCCUUGAGGCUUACCACUCCCUCAUCUUGCACUUCGCGCCCAAGCACACAGGGUUUUCAUACCUUGGGAUGUAUAGCAGGCUUCUCUUAGCGGCGCUGCAUUAUAAUCACAAUGCCAAUCGCGAGACAGCACGGAGAAGUGACGGGACGGAGAAGUACUGCGUGCGGUAUCCGCGCUUCAGAAAAGUUGGCCAUGUGGUGCGUCCCAUCAAAGAGGCAGCCUCAUAGGGUUAUGCAACAUCAUUAAUGAAGGCCCUUCGGGAGAGCUACGCCAAUUCACCCGCGGUUCUUCGAGAGAUUAGCGCCAAUUUGUCCUCCGAUGCACCCGACCCCAUCGCCAAAUCCUUCGAACAGAUUCCUAAGGAGGAGGCCGUCAGCCUCUACCUAGCCCGGCAGUCACGCUUCAAGAAAACCUAAUUUCACAUUAUUAUUUUUUUCCACGGACAAGUCCAAUGAUUUAGUUAUUAUUUGCAUGAAAUUUCUUUGUAUGUAAUUCAAAAUAAUUUGGCAAUCAU
Long non-coding RNA from Gadus macrocephalus (Pacific cod), 1229 nucleotides. RefSeq lists it as uncharacterized. The record is from RefSeq and is a predicted model, not a curated record. NCBI's taxonomy places the organism in Eukaryota, Metazoa, Chordata, Actinopteri, Gadiformes, Gadidae. The transcript is spliced from 3 exons.